RNAcentral lists this ribosomal RNA (506 nucleotides) under uncultured bacterium. RNAcentral's name for it is "partial 16S ribosomal RNA". It matches the Rfam family "Bacterial small subunit ribosomal RNA", at positions 29 to 523 of the family's 1533-position model. The record is from RNAcentral.
AACAAACGCUGGCGGCGUGCCUAAUACAUGCAAGUCGAACGGGGAAAGCUUCGGUGAGUACUAGCGGCGGACGGGUGAGUAACACGUGGGUAACCUGCCCAUAAGACUGGGAUAACUCCGGGAAACCGGGGCUAAUACCGGAUAACAUUUUGAACCGCAUGGUUCGAAAUUGAAAGGCGGCUUCGGCUGUCACUUAUGGAUGGAACCGCGUCGCAUUAGCUAGUUGGUGAGGUAACGGCUCACCAAGACAACGAUGCGUAGCCGACCUGAGAGGUGGAUCGGCCAGACUGCGACGUGGCAACGGCCCAGACUCCUACGGGAGGCAGCAGUAGGGAAUCUUCCGCAAUGGACGAAAGUCUGACGGAGCAACGCCGCGUGAGUGAUGAAGGCUUUCGGGUCGUAAAACUCUGUUGUUAGGGAAGAACAAGUGCUAGUUGAAUAAGCUGGCACCUUGACGGUACCUAACCAGAAAGCCACGGCUAACUACGUGCCAGCCGCCGCCGUAA